Molecule: ribosomal RNA, 186 nt
Filed under: uncultured eukaryote
Lineage: Eukaryota
Description: partial 18S ribosomal RNA
Rfam family: Eukaryotic small subunit ribosomal RNA
Source: RNAcentral
UGGUGGAGUGAUUUGUCUGGUUAAUUCCGAUAACGAACGAGACUCUGUCCUGCUAACUAGGUUGUGUUUUCUCGGGUUGGUGUUUCUGGUGUUCCUUCUCGGGGCGCCGGCCCAAUCCACUUGUGAACACAACACUCCUCUUAGAGGGACUGGCGGCUGUUAGCCGCACGAGAUAGAGCAAUAACA